GGCUUUUCUGUCAAAGUUCUUCU
RNAcentral lists this small nuclear RNA (23 nucleotides) under Arabidopsis thaliana (thale cress). RNAcentral's name for it is "snRNA_03778". Lineage: Eukaryota; Viridiplantae; Streptophyta; Magnoliopsida; Brassicales; Brassicaceae. The record is from RNAcentral.